UUACAUCUCAAAAAUACUUAUUCUUUAAUUUUUUUCUUACUGAAAAAUAUAUUUACUGCACAUUAUAAACGAAAUUUUUUUUUCUUUAGUCUUUUUUUCUCUGUCCUGUCUUGUUUUCCUAGUCAGGGUUUGGGAUGUUAUACGCAAAGGCUUUGGGCUUGGUCCAAGAAACAAACUCUAGAAGGCUUUUUGGGUUACUUCUAUCGUCUAGUUGUAGUUGGCCCAGAUCUGCUAAGCAC
RNAcentral lists this long non-coding RNA (239 nucleotides) under Glycine max (soybean). RNAcentral describes it as "long non-coding RNA (GMAX_LNC000230)". Lineage: Eukaryota; Viridiplantae; Streptophyta; Magnoliopsida; Fabales; Fabaceae. The record is from RNAcentral.